This 2636-nucleotide long non-coding RNA is filed under the name Salmo salar (Atlantic salmon). Its description in RNAcentral is "lncRNA (ENSSSAG00000120125.1)". Lineage: Eukaryota; Metazoa; Chordata; Actinopteri; Salmoniformes; Salmonidae. The record is from RNAcentral.
CAGCUUUGAUGCACCUGUGCUGAGUCACCUGUGCUGAGUCACCUGUGCUGAGUCACCUGUAACCAGGAACAGGGUUGGAGUUAAAGCCUCGUGGAGAACCCUGUGUUAGCGUGUUCUUCACAUGUUGGUGUGUUAAAGAGCAGAACCUUACACACUCCUCUACUGUAGCCCUCUGCUCUCUACAUCUCUCUCUCUGUCUCUCUCUCUCUCUCUCUGUCUCUUCCUGUCUCUCUCUCUGUCUCUCUGUCUCUUCCUGUCUCUCUCUCUGUCUCUCUGUCUCUUCCUGUCUCUCUCCCUCUCUGUCUCUCUCCCUCUCUGUCUCUCUCUCUGUCUCUCUCUCUCUCUGUCUCUUCCUGUCUCUCUCCCUCUCUGUCUCUCUCUCUCUCUCUGUCUCUUCCUGUCUCUGUCUCUCUCUUUCGCUCUCUCUCUAUCUCUCUUCCUCUCUCUCUCUGUCUGUCUCUCUCUCUCUCUCUCUCAGGCUUCAUAAUUACACCCAGUCAUGAUAACCCCUUUCCCUCUCUCUCAUCCCCCCCCCCCCCAUCAUUAAUACAGUAUUCCAUCUCUUCCUGGGAUUAUCUCACCUUUAAUAGUGUAAAGCUGCUUUGUGUUGCUGCUGAAUGGUUGAACGGGAGGGGAAAGUGAAAGCCUCUUUAGUUGAAAGGAAAGGUGGAGGGAGGUAAAGGGAGGGAGGGUAGUUAUUAGUGUCUACUGAGGGUUUAAGCCCUGGAUUGUCAACCCCCUGUCCUCUCCUACAGAACAAUAGAGACCUAUAGGGACAGAUAGAGGCCUCAGCUCACACUGAAACAUGUCUCAGAAGGUAAAUCAUCCUGCUCACACUGGAGCAGGCUGGUUGGACUCUGGCAGGGUUUGGCAAUGGGACUGAACACGUGAUUUAUCAGGGGCAGUGAAUAUGUAUAUGCACCCUUGUGUGUGUGUGUGUGUGUGUGUGUGUGUGUGUGUGUGUGUGUGUGUGUGUGUGUGUGUGUGUGUGUGUGUGUGUGUGUGUGUGUGUGUGUGUGUGUGUGUGUGAGAGAGAGUCUAGAGACAGAUAUUGAAGUAUGAGCCAUUGGGCUUUCAUGAAACAUGCAAGGACCUGAGCAGUGUGUCUGUGAUUGAUUCCUAAUGGGAAAGGCGGAUGACUGAGAGAUACACAGGUCUGUUUGUAUUGGAGGACCAGAGAGGAUCAGAUACAGGAAAAGGAAGAGAUACACAGGUCUGUUUGUAUUGGAGGACCAGAGAGGAUCAGAUACAGGAAAAGGAAGAGAUACACAGGUCUGUUUGUAUUGGAGGACCAGAGAGGAUCAGAUACAGGAAAAGGAAGAGAUACACAGGUCUGUUUGUAUUGGAGGACCAGAGAGGAUCAGAUACAGGAAAAGGAAGAGAUAAGCAGGUCUGUUUGUGUUGGAGGACCAGAGAGGAUCAGAUACAGGAAAAGGAAGAGAUACACAGGUCUGUUUGUAUUGGAGGACCAGAGAGGAUCAGAUACAGGAAAAGGAAGAGAUACACAGGUCUGUUUGUAUUGGAGGAUCAGAUACAGGAAAAGGAAGAGAUACGCAGGUCUGUUUGUGUUGGAGGAUCAGAGAGGAUCAGAUACAGGAAAAGGAAGAGAUACGCAGGUCUGUUUGUGUUGGAGGAUCAGAGAGGAUCAGAUACAGGAAAAGGAAGAGAUACGCAGAGUAUUUUUGUCUCUCUCUCUCGUCUGACUAAUUUACCCGGUGUCCUUUCAGCCUGUCACUCCCCCUGCGACGUCACAUUUAGUGGCACAUCAGAAAGCCGGGAGGAGAGAGAGGAGAGGAAGUAGCGAGGGAAAGGACAAAAUGGAGCACUUUUCACUAGCGAGCCCUUAAAGAUAUAAUUACCUGUCUUUGGAGUUGAGGAAGAGAAAAUGAUGAGCGCCAAAAUAGAUCAUGGGGAAAGGAGCGUCUCUGAUCUUCGCCUGGCAGAAUAAAAUAAUGAAACACUUACAAUGAACACUGUGUUUUUCAUGUGCAAAUUAAACUUUACAUGUUGACAGUUCACAAUGUAGCUCCAUGCCUGGCUCACUUUCUGUCUCUCUCUUCCUCUCUCGCUCGCUCUCUCUCUCUCUCUUCCUCUCUCUCGCUGUCUCUCUCGCUCUUUAAACAAACACACAAUUAUCCUUCUAAUCCAGUUCCCAACUCUCUACUUGGAAAACAAGGAGAGAUAUCUCUUCACAGAGGGAGGGGACGACAACAGCUGACAUCCCCUCUAGUACACUUAAUAGAGACGCUUUAUAAGAUCCAAACAAAGAUUAGUAAACAACAACAAAAACAGGGGAAUGAAAGAGAGAAGGAGAAAUGAAAGCAGAAACCUUUCUAAAUGGUUCGCCCACUAACAUCACUUUGAGUCUAAAUGGAAACCAAUGGGGGAUCUGGGUAGAAGCAGAGAAACACAGCGGAGAGGUUAAAGCACUGAGACAGUCACUACUGUAGUUUACAGAGCUCCAGAGAUGGAGAGAAGGACAGAGGAGAGGUUAAAGCACUGAGACAGUCACUACUGUAGUUUACAGAGCUCCAGAGAUGGAGAGAAGGACAGAGGAGAGGUUAAAGCACUGAGACAGUCACUACUGUAGUUUACAGAGCUCCAGAGAUGGAGAGAAGGACAGAGGAGAGGUUAAA